RNAcentral lists this small nuclear RNA (282 nucleotides) under Myotis davidii. RNAcentral's name for it is "7SK RNA". It matches the Rfam family "7SK RNA", at positions 1 to 264 of the family's 331-position model. Rfam says of the family: 7SK was discovered as an abundant small nuclear RNA in the mid-70s but a possible function has only recently been suggested. Two independent studies have found that 7SK RNA binds the CDK9/cyclin T complex (known as elongation factor P-TEFb). The record is from Rfam by way of RNAcentral. Lineage: Eukaryota; Metazoa; Chordata; Mammalia; Chiroptera; Vespertilionidae.
GAAUGAGGGCGAUCUGGCUGCGACAUCUGUCACCCCAUUGAUCGCCAGGAUUGAUUCGGCUGAUCUGUCUGGCUAGGCCGUGUCCCCUCCUCCCUCACUGAUCCAUGUGCAUCCCUCCCGAAGCUGCAUGCUCAGUCGAAGAGGACAACCUUCCCCCCUAAGGAGAGGACCGGUCUUUGGUCAAGGGUAUAUGAGUAGCUGCGCUCCCCUGCUAGAACCUCCAAACAAGCUCUCAAGGCAGCUGAUUUCUUAACAGAAACUUUGCAGGGUGAAAGAGAAGGG